RNAcentral lists this ribosomal RNA (403 nucleotides) under uncultured bacterium. RNAcentral's name for it is "partial 16S ribosomal RNA". It matches the Rfam family "Bacterial small subunit ribosomal RNA", at positions 30 to 526 of the family's 1533-position model. The record is from RNAcentral.
AUUGAACGCUGGCGGCAGGCCUAACACAUGCAAGUCGAGCGAGCGGCGGACGGGUGCGUAAUGUAUGGGGACUGCCCGUUAGCGGGGGAUAACUACUGGAUACGGUGGCUAAUACCGCAUACUGUCGGCUACCCCAUAUGGGAUUGGCUAGGAGGUAAGGUAAUGGCUUACCUAGGCGACGAUCCCUAGCUGGGCUGAGAGGAUGAUCAGCCACACUGGGACUGAGACACGGCCCAGACUCCCACGGAGGCAGCAGUGGGGAAUCUUUCGCAAUGGACGAAAGUCUGACGGAGCAAAGCCGCGGGAGUGAUGACGGGCUUCGGGUUGUAAAGAUCUGUUAAUCGGGAGACGGUACCGGAAUAGAAAGCCACGGCUAACUACGUGCCAGCAGCCGCGGUAAUAC